Long non-coding RNA from Acanthaster planci (crown-of-thorns starfish), 5562 nucleotides. The record is from RefSeq and is a predicted model, not a curated record. NCBI's taxonomy places the organism in Eukaryota, Metazoa, Echinodermata, Asteroidea, Valvatida, Acanthasteridae.
AGGAGAGAUGACUCGAUAUCUUCAUCUGAGAUCCACCUUCAUCCUCAUGAGAGACACCACCAAGUACAUGUGUACAUGUAUUUGGUUGACAGCCUUUGUUGGUGCCAUAGUUUCUGGUGUGUACUACCUACAGUACAUGUAUAUGUACCUGUGGUUCUGACUCGGUGCUGCUCAUACUCAAAGCAACCGGGUAUGGAUCCUGGACAGGCAUUCCUCAAAGUGUUAAGGAUGACGUUUCAAGUAGUGCCGUCUUCGCUAAGAAUGGAGAAGUCCAUUACUUACCUGCAUAAUGGGGAAAUUUUGCUGGUUGUAUAGAGAGAGGUUAUCGUAGCAAUGAGAUUGUACUGUAAGAGUGACCAUCAGAGGCUCAUCUAAAACAUCGCAGUGAACAUCGCAGUCCAUGGAUAGUGUGUUCCUAAAGAUGUGUUGUAGCACACACUUGUUGAGCAGUCUUUCAUGGAUGCAAGUUGGACCUCACCUGCUGCAGUUUGAAUCUAGUUAUCUGGAGAAUACAUGGAGACUUGCACUGGGUUUUCCUCUGCAGUGGACUUUUAUCUUAAGACCGUCCUUUCACUGCACUCUUUGAGGAACUUCCUACCGGUACCUGUAGCCUUUCAGUGCUGCUAAUGUUAAAAACCUGCCAUGGACAGUAUUACCUGAAAGGACAUUGGUUUUAAAGAAAAAUGGAGUGUGCAUGACCAGUGGUGUAGAGUUAGAACUGAUUUCUAACUGUUCCAAUCACAGCUCAAUCACAAAGCUUAAAAUUGCUCUAUUGGGUGACCAAAUUUUGAUGCAGUACUUGACAAUCAAUGCCCAUGUCAUCUUUGGGAAGUACAUGUAGACAAAUUUAUCUGCGUAAGAAGUAGGCUCUAGCACAGUCAAAAUCAAUCAUCAGAUUUUCUCAAUUCAUUUUUUUUUUAUUUUGAGUUUCCUCAGUUUGUUUUGUGUAAAGAAUGGACAAAUUUUCAAGGCAAAACAAAUAAAGCCAUUAGGAUCUACACCACUGGGACAGAACUAUGUUUUGUGAAAAACAGACUCCAUAAAAAGCCAAUAAUUUAAUCGAACAUUCCUUAGUUUUUUUAUUUUCCAGGAUUACAUUCAUGGCCAGCCCCUCACAACAGUCACUCAAAAAAAAAUUGCAAAAUGUUAUAAACUAAAUUCUGAAACUGUAAAAGAAUGUGAGGGACACAUGUGGUCCAAACCAUUUGAGAAACAUGUUCAGGUUAUCAAAUUUGGACAGUAUUUUUCAUAUUUCUAUUCUUGCCAAAAGAAACAGUACAUGUAUCUUAUGCAAACAAUUUUUGAGCCAAAUAUUACGUGUGUACAUUUUGUGAGGGCUGGUUCCCAUAUAAGAAAUUUCUUUUAAAACUAUUGUCAAAUGCCUGAAUGGUAAAACCUUCCCACGCUGCGUGUAGGAUGGGUUAAUAUUACUACAGCCUUCAAUCCACUAUUUCCUAAAAUACCUGUAAAGCUCAUCUUGAUAGCUUGGUGUUUCUUUCAUCAGUUGAAUGUGAGACUUGUCUCCAUUCAGAUGAAGUGCUCAUCGCAGUAUGUAGACUCAUGAAUCAUGGUCUUGGAGAAAACAUAUUGAUCUGUUAAGAUUGCUUGUGAAGACAAGAAGAACCCAAAUCACUGUUCUUAUCCAAACCUUGCAUCUUUGCAAAACAUUUUUUCCUACACGAAAAUGCUGUAACCACAAACCCCAGCUUACGUGUUUUGUUUAAUUCUAAAUGAGCAAAAUAAUUGUAGCAAUUCUAACUAUUUGCAGUUGUUUUCCAAGUAUUUGCCCAAUCAAGAAACACAUAUGCACCUUAAUUCUUAACUGAAUCAGAGGUAAACAUGUACAUGUAUGACCCAUCUUACACAUAGCACCUCGAGUAUUAUCAGCACUGAUUGAAGCCUCCUAAAUUCAAACAAUGAAGACGCUAUAUGAGUUGUUGGAAGAGACUGCUAUAACUCAUGUGUAUUCAAACUUCAGUUUCUUUCAAAGUAAAAACCAAGGUAUUAAGUUUGUCAAAAAGUAGGCUGCAGUGCCUACGCAUUCUUUGGAAAGGAGCCAUAUAAACUUUGUGUUUUUUUGUUGUACGUCAUUUCAAGUUAAAAUGCAUCCAAAGAGGCAACACAAAGAUUAAUGUAGUUUUUCCAAAAAAGUAGCGCAGCAGGUAUCCUAUGUAAUUGAAGUGCUGAUUAUACUCUAAGCUCUUGUUUGGAACAUUCACACUAAUGUGUACAUUGUUGUGUUUUACCUCCAGGCAAACCAAAUCAAAACCUCUUAGCCCAGUUGCAUGCAGGCCUUCCUGGUGUGUGCACGUGUGUUCCCUGCCCACAGACGCUGACAGGUUGGUGGUUGCCCGCUAUCUGCAUCGGUUUGUGAAUCAGCUGUUGGUGAUGUAUACAACCUCCUGAAAUCUUGCAAGUCUGGGUGAUAGUGGAUAUCUCGUUGACUGUAACACGGUAAGGAUCCUCUUAACUUUGGCAAUUGGUCAUUUUGUCUGUCAAGCAGAUGUACUUAACCACUGCUCCAGAGAUGGCAACCCAAGAGAACACUUAUGCAUCUACUCUGCCAUUGCUCACUUGACAUUUCAAGAGUUCAAUACAUCUUUGUCUUUGAUCUGAGAAGAUGGGAGAUGUACAAAAUGGUCAAUUUUUGUGGGCUUUCUCAGAUAUUCAGCAGUGUCUUAGGAUGUUAGGCCAGUUGUUAUAACCCAUGUUCAUGGUGGAUAGCUUCCAUCAUUUAAAUCUAACAUCUUUACUAUUAUUGUAUUCACAUGUUCCAAUGUCACUUGUCAAGCAGUGUGCAGUCAUGAAGUUCUGUUUAAACAUACCUGUUGAGUUCCAAGAAAACGUCUUAAAGUGGACGAAAUACAUUGCAAAAUAUCAGUCAAUCAAGCAACGGAUGCAUGCAUAAGGAAAGAAGUUGAGCUUAAAAUUCCAUGGCAAAUGAUGUUUUUUUUAAAGCAAAUAUUCUGUGAUUACAACUUGUAGUUCUGUGUGCCAAAUAUUUUAAUGUGGCUCCCAAUUUUUUCCAUCAAGAGUGUAAGCUUUUUGGAAGCACACUGAUUAUCUCAAAUAAACAGAUUGUAGUCCUUUGUGCAAAAUGCUGUGUGUGGAUCAUUUUCUCCAAAGUCCAAAACUCCAAAACUAGGAUCCUUAUUCGAAAGCAUUUUAUAAAAGCUGUUUUCUCAAAGCAUUAAUUUAAACUGAAAGAUUUCAAAUUUGUUGUGGUAGUGCCAUCAAAUAUUUUCCAAUUCAUGUGUAAAUUGCAGAAGCAAAAGGUAAAUGUCACAAAUAAAAAAAUCAGAGGAAAAAAAAGAGAAGCGGAACUCAUGAAACUGCUGUGGAGAUUACUGGUGUGCUUCACAUACCACCCUGUUAGAAUGCUUGGUGGACGAUGUAUUCAGGACCAUUCACUCGAAUUACACAGGAAACACACAUAUUCCUGAAUCUGGUCAUGUGUUGACUGGAGAUUUCAUCGGAGAGGACCAUUCAAAUGCAAUGCCACUCUAUACAGCAAAUUCUGCUGUCCCUUCAUGUCACAUUACUGACCCUGAAACUUGUAGCAGCUGGCAUUAGUUGGACACAAUUUGAGGUCUGGCAAGAUUUCCUUUGACAGUUUUCCUAUAGUGACAAUAUUACAUGGAACUGGAAAACUUGCACACCCUAGAAGGCUCUUUGCUGAGCUUAGGGACUGUGGUUUCUCCUGAAGAAAACUCAACCUCUGCUGUUAUUUCCAACUCCAAAGGGAGAAUAGUAAAGUACCAAGGGAGGUUAAGGAGGUUGGGGGGGGGGCAAAUCGGGAAUAGAGUGUGUGUUCCCCUUUCAUCAGGAGUGAAUGGCUUGGGAGAUUGGGUACCAAUUUGCUUCUCAGUAUCCUAAAACAGAAACUGUGGCAUCAACACGGGGAGCCUGUCCCAGCCACAAGGUCCAUGGUAAGUUUAAUUGAAGUUUGUAAAACUAAUUCAUGCACUGGUGUAUUAAAACAAAAAUGGUUGUACAUCCUGGUGUCUUACUUGCUAAACCCAACUGUGCAUCUCAUGGCUAGGAGUAGGACUAUAGUCUGUAUGAACAAGGUGGUAAUGCGUACAAUGUAGAUGGUCUUCAGUCUAAGGUAAUAUGCAGUGGCGUAGCAACUGGAGAGGGAUGCAGUAUAACUUAAGUCAUAGUUGCUGAGUGACCAGUUUAUCAAGAGUAGGCUUGCAACCUGGACAAAUAUUGAGCAAAUAGGCCAACUCUAGUAUACUUAAUGAUUGGAUGGCCAUAUUCACGUAAAACAACUACAAAUAUGAUUGUCUCCUACUCACUCACAUUUUCCUAUUUGAAAAAAAAAACAGCAGCAAAAGAGGUUGAGGCUGUUCAUGCAUAGCUUUGUGAUACAUUCAAGCUGUUGAGAUUGAGCCUCGUUCUUACUUAUCCUGGUGUGACAGUGUCAAACAAAGCUUGGUUGAGCCUGACAGCCAUUAAUUGCAGAGUUGCAGUUUGUAAUCUGUGAGUUUUCCCAUUUGUCAUCUGUCACAGGGAGAAAGACAUACCCUAGUCAGAUAAAGCAGAUUUCUGCUGGAAUUUUCAGAUGUUUAUGCGUUUAAAUGCCCAGCAUUGACUCCUAAUUGUCCACCAGUGGUUGUUGAAUCACUUAUGGAGUAGCAUCUCAGGAAGAGGGUGUGGCAAGCACCCUUCCUGUACAAGAGACACAUGGGCAACCUGUAUGCCCAGGAAUUAAGAAAGUACAUGUACAGUAUCUUGCAUGUCAUCUGGAGACAUUUCAUUUCUCCUCUGUAGAGAGAUCAGAAGCCAAUGGCCAGAUCUCUGGAUUCAUGAAACUUAUGAAGAAUAUUGCCGUCUGCUACAUUUGUAGACUUGACCGUCCAACACCCCUCCUCCAAGUUACGCCACUAGCAAUGCCAAAAGUAAAAUCUGACUCCAAAAUACCCUCUUGAUGUUGUAAUUGAACAAUCUUGAUCAAGGUUAUGACAAGUGUUUUUCUCUUUGCAAGAUUUGUAUUAUUCUUUGAUAAAUUGAAUAUUGGAAUAUUCUUUGAAUCAAGGACCUCAUAUUUUGGCUACAGAUAAGCUUAUGGUAAACCUAGAAGUUUGGAAGAUCAAUGGUUGAAUAGUUGACCAUCCACUGUUCCUAAUGCGAUGUUAAGCGCAUAGUGUCUAAACUCACUGCAUCACACUUUGCGUAAUAUUCCAAACCUUUUCCAUCAGAUAAAUUUACAGAUAAAAGCAAACCACUUGAGACAUCAACUGAAGAGAUAAUGGCUUAUGAACUGCUGUCAUUCUGUGAACAUUCUAGUCCUAGCUGUGUUCCUCUGAUGGAUACCACUGCACCCAAUGUACCAUUCUCAGACUGGUAGAAGACUUGAACCCAAAGCUACAUUGUACAUGUAUGCCUACACUGUACAUGUACAUCAGACAUGUAUGGGUGUCAUUGUUGAAGUAGUUCAGCCAGAGUCCAUAUAAGGUCUAUCUUCUAGUAUCCCUUUGUGAUGUUGUCAAGUUUUUAUCAGUGCCUUGAUCAAGACCAUUUGAUUCAAAGAGAAAUGCAUCAAUCAAAUCAUGAAAU